This 790-nucleotide ribosomal RNA is filed under the name uncultured Alphaproteobacteria bacterium. RNAcentral's name for it is "bacterial SSU rRNA". It matches the Rfam family "Bacterial small subunit ribosomal RNA", at positions 45 to 883 of the family's 1533-position model. The record is from RNAcentral. Lineage: Bacteria; Pseudomonadati; Pseudomonadota; Alphaproteobacteria.
UGCCUCAUACAUGCAAGUCGAACGAAAUCUUCGGAUUUAGUGGCGCACGGGUGAGUAACAUGUGGGAAUCUACCUAAAGGUUCGGAAUAACUGCGGGAAACUGUAGCUAAUACCGGAUGUGUCUGCAAAGAGAAAGAUUUAUCGCCUUUAGAUGAGCCCGCACUAGAUUAGCUAGUUGGUGAGGUAAUUGCUCCACCAAGGCUACGAUCUAUAGCUGAUUUGAGAGGAUGAUCAGCCACACUGGGACUGAGACACGGCCCAGACUCCUACGGGAGGCAGCAGUAGGGAAUAUUGGACAAUGGGGGAAACCCUGAUCCAGCAAUGCCGCGUGAGUGAAGAAGGCCUUAGGGUUGUAAAACUCUUUCAUCAAUGAUGAUAAUGACAUUAGUUGAAGAAGAAGCUCCGGCUAACUUCGUGCCAGCAGCCGCGGUAAUACGAAGGGGGCUAGCGUUGUUCGGAAUCACUGGGCGUAAAGCGUAUGUAGGCGGAUCAAAAAGUUAGAUGUGAAAUCCCUGGGCUCAACCCAGGAACUGCAUUUAAAACUAGUGAUCUAGAAUUUGGUAAAGGUUAGUAGAAUUUCCAGUGUAGAGGUGAAAUUCGUAGAUAUUGGAAAGAAUACCAGAAGCGAAGGCGACUAACUAGGCCAUUUUUGACGCUGAGAUACGAAAGCGUGGGUAGCAAACAGGAUUAGAUACCCUGGUAGUCCACGCAGUAAACGAUGAGUGCUAGUCGCUGGUACAUUAGUAUCAGUGUCGAAGCUAACGCAUUAAGCACUCCGCCUGGGAAGUAC